Molecule: ribosomal RNA, 519 nt
Filed under: uncultured eukaryote
Lineage: Eukaryota
Description: SSU rRNA
Rfam family: Eukaryotic small subunit ribosomal RNA
Source: RNAcentral
AGGGCACCACCAGGAGUGGAGCCUGCGGCUUAAUUUGACUCAACACGGGGAAACUCACCCGGCCCGGACACCGGAAGGAUUGACAGAUUGAUUGCUCUUUCUUGAUUCGGUGGAUGGUGGUGCAUGGCCGUUCUUAGUUGGUGGAGCGAUCUGUCUGGUUAAUUCCGAUAACGAACGAGACUCUAGCCUAUUAAAUAGACGUCGGGUUCUCUGCACUCGACGGUCUUCUUAGAGGGACAAGGUGCUUUUAGCACCGCGAAACAGAGCAAUAACAGGUCUGUGAUGCCCUUAGAUGUCCGGGGCCGCACGCGCGCUACACUGAAGGAAGCAGCGUGUAACAACCUUGUUCUAACGAACUGGGUAACCCGUGGAACUUCCUUCAUGAUUGGGAUAGGGGUUUGCAAUUUUGCCCCUUGAACGAGGAAUUCCCAGUAAACACUAGUCAUCAGCUAGUGCUGAUUACGUCCCUGCCCUUUGUACACACCGCCCGUCGCUACUACCGAUUGAAUGGUUUAGUGA